UGUGUUUCCCUGUCUACUGCGCGUGUGUUUUGGAGCUCCCGGCGUAGCCAUGGCUGAGGUACUGGCCACCAUGGUGGUCGGGCCACUGGUGUCCAUGGUGAAGGAGAAGGCCUCCAGCUACCUCCUGGACCAGUACCAGGUGAUGGAGGGCAUGGAGGAGCAGCACAAGCUCCUGAAGCGCAAGCUGCCGGCCAUCCUCGAUGUCAUCGCCGAUGCCGAGCAGCAGGCGGCGAAACACAGAGAAGGGGCCAAAGCUUGGCUGGAGGAGGUCCGGACGGUGGCCUACAAGGCGAAUGAUGUCCUCGACGAGUUCAAGUACGAGGCGCUUCGCCGCAAAGCCAAGGUGGAGGGCCACUACAAGGCGCUCGGCAUGGAUGUAAUAAAGCUCUUCCCUUCUCACAACCGUGUUGUGUUCCGUUAUAAGAUGGCAAAAAGGCUCUGCAUGAUCUUGCAAGAAAUUGAUGUCCUCAUCGCAGAGAUGAAUGCGUUCAGGUUCAAAUUCAAACCGCAGCCGCAAAUGCCCAUGCAAUGGAGGCAGACGGAUGCUUGCAUCCCCACUGAGUCUGUGGAGAUUGCCAGCAAAUCAAGAGCUCAAGAGACGAAGGUUCUUGUUGAUCGAUUGCUUGCUGGAGCCAGCAGUAAGGAUCUCAUGGUCCUUCCGAUAGUCGGAAUGGGGGGGUUGGGCAAGACCACCUUAGCACAGCUCGUUUACAAUGACCCUGAAAUUCAGAAGCAUUUCGAGUUGCGGCUCUGGGUGUGUGUCUCUGAGGAUUUUGAUGUGGAUUCCCUGGCUAACAGAAUAGUGAAAGAGAAUGGUUGUAAAGCAAGUGAAAGUUCAUCAGCACUGGACAAUCUUCAAAAGGCAGUGAGUGGGAAGAGGUACCUCCUCGUAUUGGAUGAUGUGUGGAACCGUGAUGAGCCCAGCAAGUGGGAAAGGCUCAAGUCCUACCUUCAGCAUGGUGGCAGCGGUAGCUCAGUGCUGACAACAACUCGCGAUGAAGCUGUUGCUAAACUAAUGAUGGGUACAACUGAAAGAGCCUAUAAACUUGGAAGCUUGGAUGAAGAGUCCAUAGGGAAAAUUAUCAAGGCAAGAGCAUUCGGUUCAAAACAAGAAAAGGAAUGGCCUGGUGAGCUAGUUCACAUGGUUGGUGAAGUUGCCAAGAGAUGUGCUGGUUCUCCUUUAGCUGCUACAGCAUUGGGCUCUUUACUGAGUACCAAGACCAGCAAGCAAGAAUGGAAGGAUGUACUAAAUGGAAGCACGAUUUGUGAUGAGGAAAAUGGGAUUUUACCAGUACUUAAACUAAGUUACAAUUGCUUGCCAUCAUACAUGCGGCAAUGCUUUGCUUUCUGUGCUAUGUUUCCCAAGGAUUAUGAGAUUGACGUGCAAAUGCUAAUCCACUUGUGGAUGACCAAUGGUUUUAUCCCAGAGCAAUCAAAAGUGUGUCCUGAAACUUUUGGAAAAGGAAUUUUCAUUGAGCUGAAGUCAAGGUCAUUUUUUCAGGAUUUGAAGAAUGUCCCAUUUUACGAAAAUGGAUAUUCUAUUCAUGGAGAGGGUGAUGAGCACAGGUAUUGUUCUAGAAUUACUUGUAAGAUCCAUGACCUUAUGCAUGAUGUUGCACAGUCUGCUAUGGGAGAAGAAUGUGCUGCAAUAGCUACACACCCAAGUGAAAGAGAGGAUGUUCUUCGUUCAGCUCGUCACUUGUAUUUGUCAAUCCGUCGAUCAGAAACUCUUCUGAGUGCUUCCCAAGAGAAAGGAUCUCCAGCUUUCCAAACACUGAUUUGUGACGGAUAUGUAGGAGAUUUGAAGAUUUUAUCAAAAUACAAUUCUAUAAGAGCUUUAAAGAUCCGUUGUGGUUCAAUCCUAAGGCCGAAAUAUCUUCAUCACCUGAGGUAUCUUGAUCUCUCGAGAAGUGAUAUUGAAGCACUUCCUGAAGACAUUAGCAUCCUAUAUCAUCUGCAAACACUGAACCUUUCUUACUGUGACUGGCUUGAACGGCUUCCAAAGCAACUGAAGUAUUUGACUGGCCUCCGUCACCUCUACACUCACGGAUGUGAAAAGUUGAAAAGCAUGCCUGCAGAGCUCGGACGCCUGACUUCCCUACAGGCGCUUACAUACUUUGUAGCAGGUACCGAUGACUCCGGUUGCAGUAAUUUGGGAGAGCUGCAGAAUUUGGACCUUGGUGGUACACUGGAGCUAGGAAAUCUAAAAAAUGUGACAGGAGCAGAUGCACAAGCAGCAGGUCUUGGAAACAAGAAAAAACUGACCCAACUGGAGUUAUGUUGGACUGAUAGUGACCAGGAAGCACAGAAUAAUAAUCAUAAAGAGGUGGUGGAAGGUCUCAAACCUCAUGAUGGGUUAAAGGCUCUGAGGAUAAAUCACUACGGGAGCACAACUUUUCCAACGUGGAUGAAUACUUUGAAAGGCAUGGUGGAGCUCACAUUAUUCCGUUGCAAAAAGCUCGAAGAGCUUCCUGCACUCUGGGAGCUAUCAGCUCUGCAAAUUCUUCACCUGAAGGGUUUGGAGAGUUUACAUUGUUUGUGCAGCGGUGGUACUACACCCAUCACAUUUCCAAAACUGAAUGUACUUAUCUUGUUAGAAAUGGCAAAAUUUGAGGCAUGGCGGGAGGCACAUGAGGUACAAGGAGAAGAGCCGAUAUUUCCCAAGGUUGAGGAGCUGGUGAUUAAGGAGUGUACAAGUUUGACUGCAUUACCAAAAGCAGCGUCGGUGAUUACAGAAUUGUCUGGCAGAGUUGACACUAAGUGCCGCUCUGCAUUUCCAGCAUUGAGGAAAAUGAAGCUAUAUAAGUUGACUGUGUUUGAAAGAUGGGAGGCAGGCGAAGGAAUUUCAGGCGAAGAGGUAACCUUUCCUCAGCUUGAGGAGCUGUCAAUCGAGUAUUGUGGCAGCCUGAGUGCACUACCAAAAGGGCCAUUUGGCGGAGCUGAAACUGUGUGUUGCUGCUCCGCAUUUCCAGCACUGAGGAAACUAGAGUUAUCUGGUUUGUUGGCCCUUGAGAGGUGGGGGGCAGCCGAAGGAACUCCAGGAGAAGAGGUAACAUUUCCUCUGCUGGAGAACUUGAGUAUCCAUGAUUGCCCGAGGUUGACUGAUCUACCUGAAGCACCGAAGCUAAGUGAAUUAUCCAUAAGUAAAGGACAUGGUCAACAACAAAUAUCCCUAGAGGCAGCUAGCAGAUGCAUCCCUUCAUUGUCCCGUCUGACUCUGACCGUGUCACCCGAUGACACAGAAACAACAUUGCUGCAUGUCAAGAAUAAAUUGAAUGGUACACUCGCCUUGGCAGCUAUGCGGUUAGGUCGGUGCGACAUUUUUUUCUCCUCCAGCUCAAGCGCACUGGCGCUAUGGACAUGUUUUGCACAGUUAGUAGAUUUGGAUAUUUGGGAUUGCGAUGCUCUUGUCUACUGGCCAGAAAACGUGUUCCAGGUCCUGGUAUGCCUGAGGAAGUUAGCGAUUUCCAGAUGCAGCAAACUGACAGGACGCACACAAGCUUCUGAUGAGCAAUCUGCUCCAGCUCCAGAACGUGGUGGACUCCUGCCAUGCCUGGAGUCUCUAGGGAUAGUAGAUUGUGAAUCUUUGGUAGAGGUCCCCAUCCCGGCAUCUCUCAAGAAAUUACGUAUUUGGGGCUGCAGUAGUAAUGUCGGGUCCAUCGUAUUUGGUCACCCGGAGGAUACGAGAUUGGUGAGUGGAGAAGGUGUUGUACGGCCGAAUACGUCAUCAUUAAUUCCAGGGUCCAGCAGCAGUGAGGCCACAGCGUCUACAGCUGUACUGAAGCUGUCAUCUGCAGCCAACCAUCGCUUCCUUCCAUUUCAAUGCCUAGAAUUUCUAGGUAUAGCGUGUUGCAGUGGCUUGUCAGAGGUUGCCAAUCUUCCUCCGUCUAUCAAGACCUUGCGCAUUUGUGGCUGCGGCAAGUUUCAAUCCCUAUCAGGAGACCUCCGGUUGCUGGAAGAACUCAAGCUUUAUCAUUGCGAAAGACUGGUAUCCUUACCGGAUGGGCCUCAAGCAUACUCAUCUCUUAGAGUUCUUCGGAUUGAAAAUUGUGAUGGUAUAAAGUUGCUUCCGCCAAGCCUACAGAGCCGUUUGGGCUACCUCGAGGAGAAAGAUCUAGAUGCCCGUUACGAAGGUAAUCUCCAGUUUCUUUGUUUCUUUUAACAAAAUGAUCAAGAGCUCAAUUGUUGUUACCUAAAAUGCAACUCUGUGCUUAAACAUUCUGUUAGCUAUUACAAGAUGUGGUAGGAUUUAGUGGUAAGAAGUUUAUGAGUAUUACUCUGUGUUAAACAUUCUGUUAGCUAUCUAGCCAAGCCGUUCAUGAUGUAUACAUUAUAUUGACUAUUGAGUACAAUGCACCACUAAUAUUUAUGUGCAUGUGUGUCAUCGAAAUACAUUAACUUCGUGUAUUAUUGCCAUUCGGGGUAUCUAAACACGUACAACCAGAUCAAGAACCGCAGUCAUCCUUGUAUUUAUAGCUAUAAGAUGAUCUUUGUUGUUCACUUUUGAUACCUUGGUUGUAAACUUGUAAUUGCUAACUCGAAUCAUGUAAUAAAAUCAAUCAUCUUCCUUUAGUUGUAUUUAAAGCAGCAUGGCAUCAUGGAAUUAUUGCAGCCGAAUUCACUAGCUCCAAUUAAAGUGGCACUUGUCCUAGCGUUUCUCUGCAAAUUCACUAGCUCCAUUGCAUACAGUUCAAGUAUGUGUAGUUUUCUUUUCAUGGCUUAUGCCUUUUGACAUAAAUAAUAAUUUUCCUUUCCUUUGAAACAUUUACUAUUGGGUACCACAGCAUAUUCUCCUGUGUAUAUAUAUACUUUCUAACUUUGUGUUGAUUUGCAUGCAUAAAUUCUAACAUCAUCUGUGAUCAUGGCUAUAAGAUGAUCUUUGUUGUUCACUUUUGAUACCUUGGUUGUAAACUUGUAAUUGCUAACUCGAAUCAUGUAAUAAAAUCAAUCAUCUUCCUUUAGUUGUAUUUAAAGCAGCAUGGCAUCAUGGAAUUAUUGCAGCCGAAUUCACUAGCUUCAAUUAAAGUGGCACUUGUCCUAGCGUUCCUCUGGAAAUUCAUGAUCACUAGCUCCGUUGUAUGCAGUUCAAGUAUGUGUAGUUUUCUUUUCAUGGCUUAUGCCUUUUGACAUAAAUAAUAAUUUUCCUUUGAAACAUUUACUAUUGGGUGCCACAGCAUAUUCUCCUGUGUAUAUAUAUACUUUCUAACUUUGUGUUGAUUUGCAUGCAUAAAUUCUAACAUCAUGGCCUGAUUGCCAGAAUUGCCAGAACCAACCUGGAAACGUUCAAUCAGGAAGCUGGUGUGCUCGAAAUAGUAGAUCAAGGCCUGACCAAAGAAAAUUAUCUCCAAGGUAUUUUUGCAAAGAUAUCACCAAGGUUUGUAAUAUUAGUGUUCUUGAUGAUUGAUUGGAAAUGAUGCUAGCUCCUAAUGCUGACUUCCUAUGCGCUGUGACUUCCUUGUAGGAUGGUGCCAGACCUGCAAAAGAUGGAUUAUUGUGACUCUUGUUUAGAAUGUAUCAUAUGGGCAUUCUGAAGAUAUUCUCCAGUAAAGUCAAGGCAAAGUUCUAGAUUUUGAGCAGAAAACAAGUCCUAGAUUGCAAGCUGAAGAAUUUAGCACACAGAGCUGCGUGCUCCAGUCUUUUAUCCUUCUUCAAACCGAAGACCUUUAUUUUGAGCAGAAACGAAGUCCCAGACUGCAAGCAGAAGAAUUUAGCAUACAGAGCUGCGGGCUCCAGUCUUUUAUCCUUUUUUUUUUCUUUUGAGCCAUGACUUGUUUGCAUUCGUGUCUGCUUCAGCCUCCAGCACAAGCGAAACACAGGCAGCACUUUCAUUUUAUGAUUUGUCUAUCCACAUACAUGACCGACUGCCAUAGAGUAGACCAACAGUCCAACGUACUCAUGUUGUUGCUCGACAAGCUGUCCAAGCUGCUGCUUGAUAUGAACUGAAAGUGCUGAACUUUGUCCAUGUUAUGUUGGUAGUAUAUCUAAUACUGAACUUCAGAGUAGAACAACAGUCCAACGUGCUCAUGUUGUUGCUCGACAAGCAGUCCAAGCUGCUGCUUGAUAUGAACUGAAAGUGCUGAAUUUUCUCCCGUGUAUGUUCUGUGUUACUGUGUAUCAAAUACUGAAUGGUGUGCAGGGUGAUCCUGCAUCCUGGAAUGGCACGGUCUUGUGCAGAGGUCUCAUUGUUGUUGACCUGUUUCUUCAAAACUGCAUGUGCAGCAACAUUUUCUCCUGGCAGUGCUGCAAUGGAAUUGAAAAGAAUGGUGAUUGUUAUAGUAUAAUUGUCAUAUAUAGGCUGGGACACAAAACAAUGGAUGUACAUGAGCAAGGAAGAAGCUCUGGAUGCAGGGGAUGGAACAGAACAGAGACACGGACUCUGUCAACAGCGAUGCUCCCCAAGCGAGCAGAGGCAGAGCAGCGAAGCCCGCCUCGCAAUCUCCGCUACCCCCAUCGAAGUUGCCACACGCCACCGCAUCUCCCUCCACUCCGCUCCCACUCCCCCGCCACCGCCAUGGCCGCCGCCGCCGCAGCGCCCUCCCUCCUGCACCCACCGGCGGCCCGCAAGGCCCCCACACCUUCUCCCUCUCCUUACCCUUCCCCAUUCCUCCGCCUCCCGGCCCCCGCGCACCCGCGCCUCCCGCUCCGCCUCCGCUCCACCUCCCCGGCCGCCGCCUCCGACCUCACCGACUUCCCCAACCCGAACGGCAUCCUCGCGCCCAUCGACGUGGACGCCGCCACGGAGGCGGAGCUUCGCGAGAACGGGUUCCGGAGCACGCGCCGCACCAAGCUCGUCUGCACCGUGGGCCCGGUCACCUCGUCGCCCGAGCAGCUCGAGGCGCUCGCCGUCGGCGGGAUGAACGUCGCCCGCCUAAACAUGUGCCACGGGGACCGGGAGUGGCACCGGGGCGCCAUCCGGGCAGUCAGGAGGCUAAACGAGGAGAAGGGCUACGCCGUCGCCGUCAUGAUGGACACCGAGGGCAGCGAGAUCCACAUGGGGGACCUCGGCGGCGCCUCAUCGGCCAAGGCGGAGGUGAGGUGCUGUGCUUGUAUGUAAGCUGCUGUCCAGUUUUGGACUUGGCGUUGCAGUUUUCAGUUUUCAGAUUGAACGUAUUCCGUGAAAUGUGCUUGUGCAAUGUGGCAAUGUGGAUGAGAGGGGUGGUGGCAGUGGCAGUGUCAGGCAUUGCCGUUUCAUACUUCUGCAAAACCUAGCGAGUCAGGAUUUCACCAAAAUGUUUUUUUUCCAUCUUCGAAAUGGCUCAGUUGAUUUAGAUUUUCAGCUCAUGUUUGAAAUUGUUAUAGAAGGAAAAACAUUCAGAAUUUCAGAUUGUCAUCAAACACUGGAUUGUGAAAGUGGUAAUCAUUUUCAAGGCUUUCAAUCUUUCAAAAAAAUUUCAAGGCUUUCAGUAUCAGUGCAACUCAAAUAAAGUGCAUGGUAAACAUCACCAUGUUUUGGCUUUCUCUGCAUAUAAGACACGGUGCUGGAGUGGUUCGACGGCGCUGAGGUCCCAAUCCAACCAGUCAGGUUUUUUCAAGGUGUCGAGUUUGAGUGCUUACCUGCGUUGGCCCCAUUCCAACCGGGCGAGUCUUUAUUUAUUUUUCGUUUCUUUUCUUUUUUUGCCUAUGGCCUCCCAGGACCGUAGUCUUGUAUUUUCUAUUAUAUCAAUAGAAACUCGCACUAUCUUGUGCGGUUCGUUCAAAAAAAAGUGAUAGGCAUUGAGCUUCUGAAGGUCGUUGUCUAGAUAUUAGGCCCAAGCCUCAAUGGCUUUUUUUUCCCUGUUGCAAACCUUCCUGUAAGUAAAGGGCACACCAGUGCGAAAGCUCCCACACAAGGUGGGGUCUGGGGAAGGGAAUUCCUAGAUAGCCUUACCCUUGCAAAAUUCUUUUAAAUUUUUGCAAAGAGGUUGGUUCGAACCCAGGACCUCCGGGCCACAAGUGGAGAGUUUUACCACUGUGCCAGGUCCGCCCUUCUAGCAGAAUCUCUUAUGCUAGGUUUAAUUUGAAUUAGCUUUAUUAGUAGAAUGCUUGGCCCAUUUAUUGGUAAAUGGUAAAAUUCAUAAAGAUUAUCCUCAUUCCCUUAAUCAAUUUUAGGUGUUUAACUUGCAGCAAAUUCGAACAAUGACAGACAUGCAGCAUAUUGUUAGUUCAUCUGUAAGACUUGGCUUGCUGGUUUAAUGCUUUGUUAAAGGUUUGAAGUUAAUGUGUCUACUGGUAGCUAUUGAAUCUCUUUAUAGUUUAUUUAUAUCUUUUUUCUUUAUUAGUAUAAAGCCAUGUAGAAGUUUUCAGAAUACUGAAAUUUCUAGUGUUCGUUUUGUGGAGUCUCUGCACCUACAUCCUUUUUUGCAACUGCAUUUCAGAUCCUUCAGUUAUAGCAUGAAUAAUUUUUUAAAAAAGAAAAUUCUAGGUAGAUUCUUGCCCGUAGUUAAUGGUAGUGUCCGAUGAUAGUUGUGUUUUAGAUAAUACAUUAAUAUUAGUAAUCCAAAGAAACUAAACUACUUCCAUGAUGCUAAAUGUCAUCAGUGCUAGCUAGGGUCACUAUACCAAAAAGGAGAUUCUAUCACCAUUCGGCUGUUUAUCUUAAGUUUUUAACCAUACAGUUAGAAGUUUGAUUGUACACCUAUUCAAUAAUCCAAGGUUUUCUUGAGCCACGUUAUUUACCCAAUGACUUCCAUUUUUCUUGGCAUUAAAACCUUUCUGAAGUAAUUAACAAAUCAUGUCACAUUUGUUGGAUUCCACAGGAUGGAGAAGUCUGGACAUUUAGUGUUAGGUCAUUUGAAUUGCCUCUCCCAGAACGAACUAUUAAUGUGAAUUAUGACGGGUUUGCUGAAGGUAUGUAAGCUGACCUAUUUGUUGAUAUCUUUUGCUGUUAUUGUUCACUGCCAUAAUUUUGUCCUACACAGAUGUGAGAGUUGGUGAUGAGCUUCUUGUGGAUGGUGGAAUGGCUCGGUUUGAGGUGAUUGAGAAGUUGGGACCAGAUGUUAAGUGUCGCUGCACAGAUCCUGGUUUAUUGUUGCCACGUGUGAAUCUUACAUUCUGGCGUGAUGGCAGUAUUGUCCGUGAGAGGAAUGCUAUGCUUCCUACAAUUUCAUCAAAGGUAAAUGCACUAGCAUAAUAAAUUUCUUGCUGUAAUUACCAAAAGACCGCAAAACUUUGUUAAUCUAUGCCACCCCUUGGUACUAGUAUUGCAAUGGAUUUACAGCUUGGUUUUUUUUGUCAAUGCCAUGGUCAGUUCAAAACAACAUGUAUUAGUUCAAAGCCUUACAUUGUGCACUGAAACUCAUCUCUUGAUAGUUUUUAUCAGCUAUUUCUUAAGAAGGCUUCUACCACCUAGAGUUGUUUAACUGAAAAUUUAAUCUUCUAGUAGCAGAUACUAAUAUUAUAAGUUUAUAAUAAUGCUGCUCCUACCCCCGACGCAGCUUGCCGGAGGCCCUUGACGCAGCGCUGCCAUCCGCAAGCCCUAACGCCGCCGACGCGCCCCUCUCCUCGGUUGAUUUGGGAAGGCGCGGGACUGAGGCAGGGAGAUUGGGAAGCAGAGCUUCCUGUUCCUCGUCUGCUACUCUGCUUCAAUUGGGCACCGGGAAAAGCGAUGCUGCCGGGUGCUCGGGUUCUUGGAGAGGGGAUGGAAUGGAAUGAUGGAUCGAUGCGGGAUGCGUUGCUGUUGCUAGCGGCUUCUGAUUGGAGAGAGGAGAGAAGCUGGUUGCUUGUGUUACCGUGAACGUGAAGGAAAACAGAGUAGGGAGGAGAGCAAGCUGCUGGUGCAGGAGCAUCAUGGCUACGGCAAUGGCAGCGGUGCGGUUCGUUCCGUCAAAUCCCAGAUUUCGGCCACAUUUGAUUGAUGCGAUUUAAUUUGAUUCCUUAUUGGUCGCCAGCCACGCAUUCGAUUCAUGGACGCGCAGGCCCCGGUGGUGAUGCAAGCCACGGUGGUUCCUGCAUGACAAUAGGUUCUUGUUACAAGACAGUCAUCAGUCAUAUUGUGAAGAACUGAUGGCAGUUUUGAACACAAAUAUAGGAUUUCAUCACGAUACACUAGAGGUUUACAAUCAUCAACUACUGCAGGGGAAAAAAAUGGAGCUAGUAUUUUUGAAAAAUGGCCCGAUGUUGAAUCUGUGAUAAUGCAACUUAUGUAGCAGAGCAACCAUGGUAACACAAAAAUGUGCCAAGAGACUGACCUGAUCUUCUUCAGCCUCUCUCCAGGUCAUCCCCGAGCUUCAUGUCAAGAGCGUUGGAAACAACCUGGGAGAACCUACAUCCUUGUAAUCCUUCUUCAUGAUGAGGAAUCAGUCAGGGACCAUGAACUGGCGAGGGUUAGGAACCACAUUCUUGAGGCGCUCAAGCUCAUCUGGGGACACCUCACGAGCUCUGCACAAAAAUAUUAUCAUCAGAGCUAAACUUCAUGCAAUGGGGCAUUCUAGCUGUAGCAUACAACAACCUACUGGCCCAGUUUGUUAUUGCGGCACAUGGAAAAUUAGUGGGAAAGUGGUGCGAUGCACCCAUCUCAAAUCUCCAACUUCAAAAAACAUGAAUGCCAAAGACUUCUGCAUAGGCUGUCUUUAGAUGGCAGAUGUUUUUUAAAACACGUUUUCCAAUGGGCUUCACUCUCAAGUAGAUUCAGAAAAGCUAAUUGAUGAUCGGCACCAAGCCACAGAUGACUGCCACUAAUGAACAGUCAGUAGAUAAUUUCUGCAUUGUUGCCUAGAUUUCACCUGAGGAAAACCAAACUGAUUGAACAUCUCGCCACAAUUUCUUAGAUUAACUGAGCCCAUCACCUACGGGAAUGGAAGGAAAAAAAACCGAAAACUGUUACCAACAUUACAAUUUGUCAAAUAAUCUUCAUAUUCGAAUUCCCUAUACAAAAAUACCGCUUUGCCAGACUGGACCAGAAAGCAAACCAAACCUAAAUUCAGUAUAUUUAUACAUGUUGAAUCAUCUCUUGGUCACGUUUUCUUCAUUGAAAAGAAGUAAUGAGAAGAAACAUUCUUCAAAAAUUACUGAUCAAAACCAUAUUUUUAGUGUGCUACGAUUCUACAGCGACUUCAGUACAAUGGAAGCAUUGGUGCUACAACGAGCUUCUGAUAAAGUUAGGAGUGAUUUUAAUCCACUUUUCAACUUGGAAACCAAGUUGAAAACAAGUCUUCCUUUUUGUUAAUGUGUUGCCGUGAGAACAUAGAGUAUGAGCAGUUCAAACCGGUUACCUAAAUUAUGCUUGUGAUCCGUGCACUGUGAUGGUCAAACUUCUCCUUGUUAAAUGGCAAGCUGCUGUUGCCUUGGAUCCUAAGGUCGUGCUGUGAAUGGUAUUGUAACUGUUAAGGUAAAUCCUGUUCUCCAUUUGUGGCCAUGCAUGAGAAUUGAGAACUGGAGAUCAUUCUGAAUUUUUGCUCCUUACAGAUUGCUUUGUGUAUCCCUUGUGCGCCAAAUGGGACUGAAAUUCGUGGCGUGAUACGUCAUCGUGACCUUUUGAAUUUUAGUUGGCUUUGUUUUUGUUUUCGAGGAUUUAACUGUUGUGCCUCCGUCUUCCAUGUGGCGAAGAAAUUGACGCAGUGGGGUCGGGAUGGUGUUCAGCUGCUGUUUGCUGGUAGACUGUUUAUUUUGUUUGGGAGUAUAAAGGGGUGGAUCAUCCAUCAUAUCUAAGCAAUAUGAUUAGUGCAAAUCAUGAUGGUCAACGUCAGGUUUCGUUUUGGGCAACCAACCACAGGGUUUCUUUGAUGGUUUCGUAUUCAUUGUAAUCGCUGUCGUUGCUUGCUUCUUGCUGCCCACAUUCCUAUUCUCCCGUCGGCUCGACGGAGGAUUUUAUUUUAAGAAUGCAGAGAAAGAAACAUGCCUCCGUUUUCCAAGCAAAGCAUAUAUUCUUUCUGGAAGGUCAACGACAAGGCCCCGGCCGUUCCAAGCUUCUCGCUGGCCUAGCCGUCGCGUCCAUUCAAGCUCAGAGGCGACUGCCGUUCCGAGCUCUCCAAGGGCCCGCGCGAUGGGAAGCGGCGCGGUUCUUGACGGUGGUGUUGUUCCUCGCCGCGGGGGUCCUCUUCGCGCCCGAAUCGCUGGCGCCUCGGCGGCCACCGCAUGGGGCACCGGCCUCUGGGUCGCAUUCAUCGGCGGCACCAUCCUGUUCAGGUAAGCAAGCGCCGCCGCUGCCGCUUCGUCCGCCCCAAGAUCAGAUGGUUGGAAACAAGCGAGAGAUGGAUUCUGUCAUGUUUACUAAUAUACCAUUAUACCCAAGCCUAAAUGUGAUAUGCUGCUGCUGUCAUAGCAUUCACAUUCAAAUCCAAUUUCGUGCGCAGCAAUGCACGGCGCCCAUCCUAGGAAGAACUCUGAGGAAAAUGACAAGCCUCAUGAAUCUGUCCUUGGAAUCAUGCGAGUUUUAGUAAAUCAUUGGAAUCCACUGGAUCAUCAUCUUAAUCUGGCAACCAUUGGUCCGGAAAAAUCAUUCUAGUAAAUAUUCACCUUGACGAUCUGUUGGAAGGACAAGGACCACAAAAAUUAUGAAUUGGGAUUUAUGUGCUGUAUUGAGAGAGCCCGUAGGUGCUGGAUUUCUCUGGAAACGUUCUGAAAGUUCUGGUAGUGGUAGCACUGCUACAAUUUUACAAGCAUGUGGGGUUGUUCCUCUGUUUGUUGAUUAGGUAUUAUGUUUUGCAGUCUUAAAGUUCAGAAGGUAAUUACCCAGGUGUGCAAGUAUACCUUCAAGUUUUUUUUUAACAUAGUGUACAUAUUACCUUGUUAUAGUGAGAACAGAGAAGUCCACCGCAAAAGUAUAGCCUAGCAUAUAUUGUUCUUGCAAUAGACCAUGUGUGGAUAUGCCCCUUUGCAGGUCGAUUAUUCCAUUCAGAACAUAGCAUGGACCUCUAUAGUGUUUUGGAUAGAUUUUUUUUUAUUAUAAAGGUACUUGCCGAGGCACCAAUUUGGGAGUCUGCGGGGUAAAAUGUUCCCGGCGUAGUUCAUAUUGACAUCAGUGUGUUCAGCGAUAUCUGUGGCAGCAUUCGUAUACCUGCACCCCUGGAAGACAGCAUCAACCAUCGAGCGUUACCAGCAUGGAUUCCUUCUUUCGGCCCUUAUCUGUAACCUUUCAAACCUUCUGGUCAUCACACCCGAUCCUUACCUGCGCUGCCGCCGCACCGCCACCUCUCCCUCCCUGCGUCGCCGCCGCGCCGCCACCACUCCCUCCCUGCGUCACCGCCGGGACCCCGACGACCCCUCCCACCACUCCCUGCAACUGAAGAGGUAAUCCGACAGCGCCCCCUCCGGGCGCCGCCACGCCGACCCGCCUCCGGGUGCCCAAUUGAUACGCCCGGACCGCUCCUCCUCCGUCCGCUGCCCAACCGUGCCUCCUCCGGGCGCCCAACGCCGGCGCACCCCCUGUCCGGUUGCCCCUCCGCGCCAGCGCCCCCCUUCCCGGCCUUCUCUCCACCCCUCCCCCGGCCUCCCCUCCACGCCGGCGCGCUGGUAGACGGACGCCUCUGGCUACUUCUGUGCCGGCCGCGCCGCCGCCAAGCUCGCCCCUACGAAAACGGUAACCUCUUCCGCCCAUCUGCACAUCUCCAUGACAAUCCGUUUUUAUGCAUCCUUAUUGAGGCGGAUCUGGUGGUUCGAUUGCAUAGAGGAGGAUAAUGAUUAGUGGAUUUGCUUGAUUGGCAACAUAGUCCAUCAUUUAUUCUCCUGUUCUCCAUUAUCAGUAUUGUGAAAUUGCUUGACAGAUGGCUGGUCACUUGUUUUUUUUUAGUGAUUCCAAUGGUAAUCAUAUCAUACCAGACCUAGAUAGAAUAUAAUAUGAGAUGAUGUUGCAGACUGAGUCAUCUGAUUCUUGCAGUCUAAUUCUAGGAGUUUUAGGCAGUGGCAUGUGAAUAUUAUCAAUACUUCUGCUUCAGUUAACAUAUGCAACUUAUGGGCACUCACAUAGCAGGUUAUUUUUCUGUUGUUUUAACUAACAUGGCAUGACGUGAUGUUUUUGACUGUUUAACUAAUAGAAUCUUUAAGCUUUGAUUGGUACACUCAAACUUCAUUAUUGAGAUUGGUCGACUGUCAGUAUUGUGAAAUUGCUCAACAGAUGGGAUAUUGCUUGCAUUAAAAGAUUAGCUUCAGGAUAUUGCUUCGAUUGUAGAGGAUGAUAAAAGUAUUGAUUUUUCUUUCCUUGUUUUUUAGUCAUUCGUGCUUACUCUCUAGCAAUGGUUAAUUACAACACUGCAGGACUACUAGCUAGCGUAUUUAUCUAGGUUCUGAUAUAAAGCAUAUAACAUUGGAUCUGGGAUAAUAUGUUGGCUAUUUUGUGGCUGGCCCGGAAGCCCAGUGGUUGCUUUGCUUUGCUACCUGCUUUUGCAACUCUCUUCUUUUCUGAGCUCAUUCUUACACUUUAGCCUGCAGUCGAGUAUGUGUGUUAGCUAUUGAGCUGUUUUGCUUUGCUUAAUCAAAUGCUAUAUUACACCAUGUUUUCAAAUUUGUUCCCAUAGUUAUUUAGCUUAACCUCUAUCUCUGAAAUCAGGUACUUGAUAGGAUGAACUGUAGGGGUCUGAGGUCUUUUUUUAAUGAAGCAACAGGGGAGGACCCUACUGACAAAUUUCAGAGGAUAUAUAUCUGUACAGGUUGCAUGGCCAUGUAGUUCCAAAAGAAAAAAAAGGAGGAGAUUUAGAUCCCUCUCCACGAAAUAUUUUCAUGGUUGUCCAUAAAUAUUUGUUUUCUGUGCAUUAAGCUUUUCUGUUGUGCUAAUCUGAUUCAAGGAACCCAGAAUUGCAACUAUCUUAAAUUUUCUUUUUAUAUUCCAUUUUAUAUCAAUUCCAGGUACAUGCAUGAUUGGUAUGGCCAGGUUGAAUGCAAAUAUGUGGCAACACUGAAGUAGAACAAUCAUUAUGAAGCAUGUCAAGUAAGCAUGUUCUAACUUUUGGAAUGUAGCUUCAUGAAUUUGAUUCUUUGAUAUACUAUACAAGGUUGUAUUUGUUUGAUCUGUCACUUAAUUUGACAUUGGAGUUGUCCGGCCAACAAAUCCACAUGUGCCUCCGCCACAUGGACGCCCCCAAGGCCCGUACGUGAUCCCCAGGUCCCUUCCCUUCUGUUUGGUUGCAAACACUGACAGAGAACCAUUUGCAACUGAGCUCAUGACUAACUUAAUGUACCGUUGCUGCUUGCAGGUCACAGCUCAGAUGAGGCAAAGCGGAUAGCUUGAUUACUGGAUGCAGGAUUAGCAUCCACCAUGAGCCUGUGCACCUGGUCCAUCGUAAUUCUUUGAAUUUACUCUAUUGAAUGCAGGGUGUUCCUGAAAUUGCAAGAAUUAUGGCACCAGAUUGGUCGUCGAUGGACAGAAGGCAAUGCUGUGCUGCCAAUUAAGUUGCCUGGUGAUGUUUCUAACAUGCAUUCUGUACUAUCUGACAUUUUAGAUUUCAGGCUGCUAUCGUAUCUGGUUUGUGACUGUAUUUUCUACCAAUCAAGUUGCCAUCAAACUUAAAUAUUGAAGCCUCUGGUGGAUAUGAUGAUGAAUUGACUGUAGACUGUUGGCCCUUGGGCAUUGCAAAGAGAAGGAAAUAUCUGUUAAGAUAGCCAAAACCAUCAAGUUAGUCCAGAUCAUGCGCUACAAAAUUUCACUUCUUUUAUGAACUGCUGUAGUGUGUAAUAUAAAUAAUGCCAUCAAGUUAAUAUGUAUGUGCAAAAAAUCCCCUGACAGGAAAUUAUUAGGAAUUUAUAUUAGAAACAGGAAACAUGAAUGCUGAAGCAUGUUAGAACUGACAAAACACAAUCAGACAUAGGCAGGUUCUUGGGACUGCAUGAAGAGAGACUCAGAUUCCUAAGGAUUGUUCAAGUGCAUUCGAUGUGAUUUGCCGACGAAUGGAACAGAGGAUGGCCUAUGGCCAGAAUGAGCAGGUGAGGCUCCAUACUAUCUUACCGUAUGUCUUCCUCAUGUCUCAUGUGUUGCAUUGCAUGUAACUGUUAAAGUAUCUGUGCUACAGAUCUCACUUUAUUAAAUCAUGUGAGAUUAAACUUACAUUUAUAUUGUCAUUAAUAGAAAUCAACAGAAAAGAGGUACUGAUUGGAUUACUAAUUCAUUAUUUGUAGUUGCCUUAGUCAAGAAUAUAAAUUUGUCAGGGACAACUCAAAUACAGAAACACACUCAUGAUCCUUUGUAGUUUGCAGUAGAUUGCGAGUUUAAUGGUAAAUCUGGACUUGAACUUCUUUUCAGACUCUGUUCUACCACCGAAUUUCAUACUGCAUUACUUCAUGCUCGAAAAAUGGAUGAAAUCAAAUCGAUAGCCUUCCUCGGUUAACCAUUGCAGAGACACCGCUCUUGUAAUUCAGGACAUGGUACUGCUGCACGAAGUGGAGGUGGAAUACCCGGACGGUCGACCCAUCGAAAAGCACCAAGCGAUGCUACUGGAGUUCGGAAAGUUUGAAAAUGGCCAAUCCACCACUGCCAUGUCCCUCACCGUUGGUGUAGCAGCAGAAAUAGGGGCUCUGGUAGUAACCUUAACCACAGUUAUACUUGCAUGAGGAUAAAAGCAGAAACCCCAUGUAUAUUCAUUUACUCUUGCCCCAUGCCAUGUUGCAGCUCUUGCUCCAGAACAAGGUGCAGACGAAAGGAGUGAUUAGGCCUCUGGAACCUGAAAUCUACAUUCCAGGUGAGUGCAACGUGGACCAUGGUUUUCAUGCCUGUCCUUUGUGGAAUCACCGUGACAUGCAACAGUGCUGACUCGUGUGUUUGCGUGUGUGAAGCAUUGGAAAUCUUGGACUCGUCAGGCAUAAAGCUGACUGAGAGAGUGGAGAUUUGAAAAUUCGUGUGUACUCCCUCCGUCCCUGUCGUUUUCGCUUCCUGAGAAACAACUUUGACUAAAUAUAUAUAAAAAAUAUUAAUAUUUAUGAUACAAAAUUAAUACAAUUAGAUAGAUAUUUGAAUCUAGUUUUUUAAUAAAUUUAUUUGAAGAUACAAAUGGUGCACGUAUUUUCUACAAAUCCAGUCAAACUUGCGGCACGGAAACCAAAAGCGACAGUUAUUUAGGGACGGAGGGAGUAAGCAUUGGAGAUCUUGGAGUCGUCAGCCACCAAGCUGACUGAGAGAAUGUAGAUUUGAAAAUUCGAAGUUAAUAGUACAUAGAUAUACUAUAUGAUAAUAGCUGGGUACAUAUAUUCUGUACAUACUAUGUUCUGUCCUAAGAAAGGGUAGGAACUCCCAACAGUUUGUCGUCGUCGUUGUACAUAGAAUCUCAUAAUGUAUAACUUUCAAAGCUCUAAAAACAACAGGUCUUGUGUGCAACGAUGAUAGUCGGAUUAGUUAUACACCAUGUACUUUAGUGUGGCACUAAAUUAUGAAUAGGUUCUCUAUACUUAAAGCUUCUUAGACUAUGAUGUUCGUCAGCUCACUGGUGAUUGGAAAGGCGUCUUUAGAAAUUGCUACGCAAAACGAUUGGGAGUAUAGGGCAACCCUGCUUGCUUAUUCAAAUUGAUGUACCUAAGGGUGUAAAAUGUGAAGAUAUAUGGAAGUCUUGAUUGUGGAGAAAAAUUGUCAAUCAAAAUAGCAUCUUAUUUAUGAGGUGGGGCCUGAUUCGACUCAUGUCGAGCCCUCUCCUUUGCACCAACGAACAGAUCCAAUCGUUUAAAAUCAGGUCCAAGUUCACAUCUCUUUUGCCCUCCCACUCAGAGCACAAUCGGCCAGCGCGACGGGGAUGGCGACACAGCCACCGACGGCUGGAGCUCCCUCAAUGCUGCCAGCAGGUAAUUGACUAGCCUAUUACUAUUUGGAUGUGAUGCACAUUGGUCACGAAUUUGUAAAUCUAUCAGUUCCUGCUUCCUGCAUCCAUUUGUGCAGUUCUUGCGGUGGAUGCAGUGCACUGAGUAUAGAAAUUAUUUUUUAUUACUUCUGUGAAACGUUUUGGCCUUGGCAAGUAUGUACAGAUUUAGUUGUUGUUUUUUUAGUCAGAGGUGAGCUACGUGUAUGGGAAAGAAACACUUGAUUGCUUGUUCUAGAUCUUGCCUUCAUAUAAACUGUGAUGCUAUCAACAUGGAGAUUUGAUGCAUUCUACUCUCUCUCUAUUUCACAUGGAAAAGAACUCGUGUUUACUCAAUAAUGCUUAUGAAUUUUCCUUAGAGUUGCAUUUAUUCAUCAUCCUAAAGUAUUCCGUGUCAAGUAAACUCAUACUUCUAAUUUUUCAAAAAACAAUCUGAAAUCAAUGAACCCCUCCUUCCUUGUGAAAUUGUUGUACCUUUUUCCUUAUGACAUCUUAUCUACUUCCACUUUCCUGGUGCAGAAUUUUUGAAAGUAGGAAACGUAAGCAAUGACAGUGAGAGUCGCAGCAAUACUGAGCUCAAUAGGUGAACUAGACAAACCAUUCUGCUGUAGUUCAUUUUAUCACUGCAGUCAUCGUCGGACAAUGAGGUCAGAACCAGCAGGUUCGCAGAGUGACUUGUGACUUGUGGAUAAUCCUGCAGAUUCAACAAUGGUAAAGUAACGAAUGGUUAAGGUAUAAGUAGAUUUACUCAAUUAUACUCCAAUAGCUAAUGCAUUGCAUAUAUUGCUUGGCCGUGUAUAUAAAUAUUACAUCACUGUUCAACAUAAGUAAAUAGCUUGGUCCUUCAUAAUAAAGCAGUCCAUUUUGGUAAAAGCUAUAGUGCAAUUAGUUUUCUUGAUUUUCUUAAAAUUUUACUCAAAGUCUGUUCCUUAUGUUGUACAUUUGCCUCGCGGGCUGGCUAACUGACCUACAUGAGGCUGGCUAACUGAUCUGGAGGUUCACUAUCUAUGUUCUUUCAUUUCAUUGUCAAACAGAGAUAUUCUAAAUCUGAAAGUCUGUUGAAAUUGCCUAUGGAGUCUUGUGGUACCUUUAGUGUUUCUUAUCAUGUCCAGUAGGAGGUCUUGGAAAACAUAUUUGCCAUACAUGAUUUUUUUUAAAUCGAAAGUAGUAAUAUGCUGUGUAAUUGCCUUCUUGCCUCCUGACGUGUGGCAAAUUCAUUGAGCGUUUCCACUUACAUCGCUGGCAUAUUCAGAAAACAACGCAAAGAUGAUGGUUUUGGGUGAGAGGUCCUUUGGUCAAGGUAAUUUCAGAGCAUUGAUUUUCAAUGUACUUGUAAAGCCAAGAGAAAGUUGAGCAGGGCACAUUCAGUUGUUAACUGGACUGUUGGCUUGCUGCUAUGGAAACAUGUUUUCAGCCUUAUUACUUGCCGAGUUUACAUUGGGAUCUGAAAACUGGACAGCGUGCCAUUAGUUUUGUCUGUCUCCAGGACAUUGCCCAUGCACAUGAACUGACUGAUUACCAUGAAAAUUCACCUGUUUCAGUUCCAAACUAAUUAUUGCUUCAAGGUCACAAAGCUAUAUGAAAAUCUGUAUCCAAUUGAAUGCCAGAACUCUCUAGGAUGAUGUCAGGCAUUCCCAUUUAUAGGUUAACCUGAAGUGAUUCUUGAAGAUUAGUUUCUGUGUGGUUGAUUUGAACUGUUUGUCAUAUUGUAUGCUUCAUCUUGAUUACUAUCAAUUUCACAGGUCAUGUUCAUUGUGAGGAAUGGAGCGCAAUGCCUUGUGGUAACUCUGGGCAGACGAAAAUAGGCCACCUCUCCCAUUUUCUUGAUAUUUAUUUUCUGAUAUCUGACUAUUGUAUUUGUCGUGAAAUUUAAAUUGUAGACACUAACAGAUCAUGUGUCACUUCAUGCUUUGACCAUGUGAAAAAAAUUCAGUGUAUUUACCCAUGAUCGGUGCCUUGCCCCGAGUGGUCUUUAAUUCCUGAAUUAGGCAACGGUGAUUUUUCUUCUUAAUAUAUAGAUGCGCAGCUCUCCCGCGUGUUCGAGAAAAAUGAGGCAACGGUGACACAGCGCUCGUAGAAAGUAGAAAGUGAAGAAGCGGUUUGAGCAUAUUGCUGUUGACAGCUACCUCCGCAAGAUUUGGCCAGUAUCGUGAGCUGAGUUUCACAACCCUGAACCACUUGGUAAAAAACAGUCUGAAUUUUGCGUUGUGAGUAACUAACUAGACAUCCGAAUAAAUUAGUGUACUGAUAUUCUGAAAUUUGUUUUAGCACUGGGACUCUCUGGACUAUCCGGUGGAAUCAGGCCUUGGCAGGACUGAGGCAGAUGUGGGGGGUGACACCGUGCAGGUGAGGUGGUGGCGGUACCUGGCUCUGGCAUCUCCCUUUAUCCGCUUGAUGGAAUGGCAGCAUGGGUAUGGAGACACCAUCAGCAUCUAAACAAGGCCCAAAAGGUACAAAGAUAUGAUUUAAUCACUUUUGAUUUGUUUAUUUGCUAUCAUAUAAAUUGCAGGUCUUGAGUAAUAUGUCAAUGCUAUAAUUUUGCUUGCUUGUUGUGUGUCCUCUCUAAAAUCUUUUCUUUACCAUAUAUAUCCAUACGCACAAGAUAUUUGCAGUUACAAGUAUAAUCCUCAAGGAGUGAAAAGCUUGGGAUUCUGUUCGUGCAGGCAACAGGCAUUGAUUGCUAAUCAGCAUGGCCUCCACAAGUACCCAUCAUAGGAAGUGCAGCAACCAAUAUUGUGUUCAAACCUGAAGAAAAUAUAUGGGGAUGGCUGGGUGGCUGCACAGCUCAUGGCAGGGACCAAUUUGGAGUCUGCAUCUUCUUUCCCACAUAUAUAUGAUAUUUCCAUAUACUGUCAGGAUGCUAUUAAACUGCCUUCACCAGAUUACUAUAAACUGUGAACUUCGGAACUUUAAUUUUCGAUAAGUUGGAGUCGACGCUUAAAACUUCAGAGCUUUAUUUACUCCUAAGUACCAACAGCUCUAAAUUUUUGUGCACUGCACCCUUAGUUUUUAGUGAACAAUACUGACUGCUGAGGUUAUAAUGCAUCUUUCUAUGUGGGACUAAAGUUUUGUCAAGUAAGGCUAUGUACACAUUGAUAAAUCUGCUUCAGAAUAAUAUCGCUGAUACAUUGCAAUCUCACUAUCUGAACAAAAUCAGGUUUAUCAGUUAUUUAUAGUAGACUUGCUUGUUAGAAAGGACCUAAAUAGGUUUUCUUUGUCUAUGUGAAUUUUCGGGGAAUUCUGCUUAUCUUCCAUGGAUAGAUGCUACUUCUCCUGUAAUAUCGAAUUGGGUCAUGUGUGUGUCAGCUCUUUGCUAGCCAAAGGAGCUUGUGACUUGCAACUACUACUGCUUAUUCAAUGAUCUCUAAUAACUGAAUCAUUUUGUUCAGAUUCUAAUUACCAGGUCUUUUCUCAUCUCUUUAUGUUUUGAGGUGUUGGAUGAAAUAGGGUUAAUGGUGUUUGCUACCAUUCUACAAGAAAAUAGGGUUAAAAUAUUCUUGUAUUCCUCAGAUUAUUUGUGUCAUGCAAACUCCACUUUAGAAAAUUCCAUUCUAAAUGGUUGUGUGAGAUUAUGUACCAUUCUAAUAUGAUCUCAUGAGGGGAAUUAUUUAGCCUGUAGCAACGCACGGGCACGAUCCUAAUGGAAUUGAAAAGAAUAGAGAUCGCGAUGAACCACGAGAAUAUCUAGUGUUGGAACGCAAAGCGGAGGGCAAGUACCCAUACAAAAUCUAAUAACUCUGCAACAGCCAUCACUAGCAAGUUGUCAUACACUCAUUAUGGUCUUGGCCACGAGACAUGAGCAAGAGAUGCACAUCAUGAUCUAGGAAGCAGCAGCGCGCGGGUAUGGUCGCAUGGAACAGCCUCUUUGCCCGCGCCGGCCACCCCUUCCACUGCUGCUCAAAAGGUGCUCGACAAAAUGCCACUCCAGGACACUGCCCGCGCCGGCGCGCCUGGGCAGGAAAGAAAACAGGAAAAACUCUGAAAAGGGAGUAGUAAUGCACAGAAACUCACAUUGCUAUUCGAGUUGCCAUGAAACGUUGGGAUGGGUGUAAGUAACGGAUCAUAGAGACUGUCCAUUGUCAACUUGUCAUUAUUAAACAAAACUACUAUUAUUUUCCCUCCUGGCCUCGAGAUGCUAAUGGAUGGCCCAAAACUAAUGCAAGAUGCACAUGCUCUCACAUGGUUGAAGACACGCAGAUCAAGAUGCACAGAUCGAACACAUCUGGACGAACGUGGUUCUAUAUUGCUGUAGUGUAUGCAACCAAUUAAACACAUCCACUUGGCUCCUCCAAAGUCAACGCUCGAAGUCUCCAUUUUCCACAAAAGCAGCAGCUCAAACCAAGCGUCCAGCUUCUCUCUCUCCACCCAGCAACACUGUGUUUCCUGUGUCCUGUCACCUGUGCGUGUGUUUUUGGAUCUCCAGGCGUUGCCAUGGCUGAGGUACUGGCCACCAUGGUGGUCGGGCCACUGCUGUCCAUGGUGAAGGAAAAGGCCUCCAGCUACCUCCUGGACCAGUACAAGGUGAUGGAGGGGAUGGAGGAGCAGCACAAGCUCCUGAAGCGCAAGCUGCCGGCCGUCCUGGACGUCAUCGCCGACGCCGAGGAGCAGGCGGCAAAACACAG
Molecule: long non-coding RNA, 22309 nt
Filed under: Setaria italica (foxtail millet)
Lineage: Eukaryota; Viridiplantae; Streptophyta; Magnoliopsida; Poales; Poaceae
Description: long non-coding RNA (SITA_LNC000934)
Source: RNAcentral